Molecule: long non-coding RNA, 1181 nt
Filed under: Mus spicilegus (steppe mouse)
Lineage: Eukaryota; Metazoa; Chordata; Mammalia; Rodentia; Muridae
Description: lncRNA (ENSMSIG00000024127.1)
Source: RNAcentral
CUAAACAGCUCCACGUGUCCCAAAGCAGAAUGUCCAGGGAGAGAGUUCAGAAGCAGUGUGCGAGCUCAGGUUGGGCGGAACGGAUCUGCUGCGUUAAGGCAAGGCUGGAGAGCGUGAUUAAAUUUAAGAUCUGAUCCGGUUCCAGGAUGAGAGACACAGGCUAGUUCUUUUCCGGCAGACAACCUUCAGGAUCUUAACCCUAGACUCCGCGGAUGAGGGGAAAGCUUAAGAAGCCGAGCCCCAGGGCCAAGGGCGCCUCAGGGAAGCCACUGGAUCAAAGUAGGUCGCCAGACUCUCCGGCCGUUCGAGUGGGUCUUCGCAUGACUGCUGCAGGCGGGCGUCCACGGUGGCGGGCUCCCGCCCCUCACGCAGCUGCGACCUGCGGGGGCGCGCGCAGCCUCGUGGGGUUCCCGCGGAUGCGCGCCCGGCGGGGAGCGCGCAGGGCGGAGAGCCGGGCGCGAGCGCCGCAGCUCACCUGCCGCGGGCGCCACCACGGACGUGCCACGCGGGUGGUCCGAGCUAUUCGGCAGCACUGAAGGAGCCACCCCUCGGCUAGGGCGUGCCAAGGUGACCCCCGGUAACCCCCUGCCCCGCAGGCUGCGCGUCCCCGCUGCUAGGGGAGCGGUGCCAAAUGCAUGCAUAUCUUUCUCUCUGUCUGUCUGGGCACCUCUGUGGUACACACCUACCUUUUUUGUAGCCCUUGCACUCUGAGCGGUGCACAUGGGAGAGGCUGGGACCCCACCCCUUUGUUUGAGUCUGGAGGUGUGUUUGGGGGUGUGCUCGCGCGUGAGGUAUGUUUGGGAAGGGUGGGAGUUUGGGGCCCUUAAAAUAUUCCACCCUCCUGCAGACUUGUGGCUGCUGGGCGGUGCUCUCUCAGCAGCCCAGAUGUCAAACAGUUGUUGGUUUUCGGCAUGGGAGAUGCAAUUAGCCAAUGUCGGUUUUCAGCGUUUUGGCAAGUGUGCGAGUGUGCAUGUGCCGCCUCGGGAGUCCUGAUCCGUGUUUCCCUCAGAGACAAACAGCAUUUCGGUUGCAGACUUUAGCUUUUGUUUCUAAUUCCUGAAGCUCGUGGCAUUUUGACACUGAUAUCUGAGCCCAGGGUUGUCUGUCUUUCUCUGUGUGUUUUGCAUGAUCUUGGAUUGGCACCCUACUGUACCCAAACAUUAAAAAGCCUGUCUUUCCGU